RNAcentral lists this ribosomal RNA (157 nucleotides) under Jahnula bipileata. RNAcentral's name for it is "5.8S ribosomal RNA". It matches the Rfam family "5.8S ribosomal RNA". Rfam says of the family: 5.8S ribosomal RNA (5.8S rRNA) is a component of the large subunit of the eukaryotic ribosome. It is transcribed by RNA polymerase I as part of the 45S precursor that also contains 18S and 28S rRNA. Lineage: Eukaryota; Fungi; Ascomycota; Dothideomycetes; Jahnulales; Aliquandostipitaceae. The record is from RNAcentral.
AACUUUCAACAACGGAUCUCUUGGUUCUGGCAUCGAUGAAGAACGCAGCGAAAUGCGAUAAGUAAUGUGAAUUGCAGAAUUCAGUGAAUCAUCGAAUCUUUGAACGCACAUUGCGCCCUCUGGUAUUCCGGGGGGCACACCUAUUCGAGCGUCAUAU